GGUGCUGUGGUGUAGUGGUUAUCACGUUUGCCUUUCACGCAAAAGGUCUCCAGUUUGAUCCUGGGCAGCACCA
Molecule: transfer RNA, 73 nt
Filed under: Brassica rapa (field mustard)
Lineage: Eukaryota; Viridiplantae; Streptophyta; Magnoliopsida; Brassicales; Brassicaceae
Rfam family: tRNA
About the family: Transfer RNA (tRNA) molecules are approximately 80 nucleotides in length. Their secondary structure includes four short double-helical elements and three loops (D, anti-codon, and T loops).
Source: Rfam by way of RNAcentral